Molecule: ribosomal RNA, 253 nt
Filed under: uncultured bacterium
Lineage: Bacteria
Description: partial 16S ribosomal RNA
Rfam family: Bacterial small subunit ribosomal RNA
Source: RNAcentral
UACGGAGGGUGCGAGCGUUGUCCGGAAUCACUGGGCGUAAAGGGCGCGUAGGCGGCCUGAUAAGUAGGGGGUGAAAUCCUGCGGCUUAACCGCAGGGCUGCCUUCUAAACUGUCAGGCUAGAGCACAGUAGAGGCAGGUGGAAUUCCCGGUGUAGCGGUGGAAUGCGUAGAGAUCGGGAGGAACACCGGUGGCGAAGGCGGGUCUCUGGGCAUCUCCUGACGCUGAGGCACGAAAGCUAGGGGAGCAAACAGG